GAGUAAAACAUUUAUUUUCAACAUCGCAAUCAAUCUCCCUCUCGGGGAUGAGCCUUGCUGCAUGAAAGACAGCGGUGAGAUGAGUGGCUUGCCGAACGGGAAAUCUUAUUUGCUCGGAUUCCGUCUAGUCUUGUACAAACAGGCUCUAUGUGUGGAGGCAAAGGCCCAUGGAGGUCAGAAGAGGGCAUAAGAUUCCCUGGAACUUGAGUUAAGGAUGGUCGUGACUCACCAUGUGGACAUUGGGAACUGUAAGAGCAGCAGGAGCUCUAAUUGUUCUCACCGUGGCUCCGUGCGACUAAGCGACUCGUCCACAGAUGCGCUGAUGCGAGCUGCCAGAGGCAGACCUGACAGGGACUGUCUCACCUCAGAGCCUGGGCGCUCAGGGCUCCCCCAGUCACUGUCUGCCUUGCCUCUCUGAGCCUUCAUUUCUUUUGGUGGGGAGCUUCGCUCGCUCAGAUCGACACCCGACUUUCAGCGGAAUCGAUGAGCCGUGAGAACUGGACUGUUUGCGUGAGCUAGAGAGAGGGCUCAGUGGUUGGGAGCACUGGCUGCUCUUGUAGAGACCUGAGUUGGAUUCCCAGCGCUUGUGACUUAACUCCAGCACCAGAGGAUCUGACGUCUUGCCUCCAUAGGCUCCUGAACUCAUGUGUACAUGUCCAACAUAAUACAUAACUCAAACUAAAGAUGAACCUUGAAGAGGAAGAGGAGAAAGAGACAGAAGGACAGAGAGAGCUCUCCUUCCGAAGAGCGUGGCGCACUUCAAGCUCUCAGCCACAGGCCAUUCUCCUGGGCUCCUGUCCUCUUCACCCAUCGUGUGCUAACUGCUCAGCUUGGGUGUUAGGUCUGAUGACCAAUCUUGCUCAGCACCACCCAGUGGGCUCUCCCCUCAAGAGCUUACUCGUUACGAGUAGCGCACUGCAUCAUGGGGCAAGCAUGGGACAUUGGCUCAGAGUCCAGAAAGUCACCUCCAUCUGCAGAUGGAAUUAUACGGCAGUUAUGGGACUUCUGUAUCAGGGCACUUGGGGGAUUUGAAGACACACUAAGUGAUAGUGAUAAUAUUUAGAUAAUUUCUAAUAACCUGAAGAGUGUGGACACACACACACAAUCACACGAUCACACAAAUACACACAUAUUGGGUAGCUGCAAACCAGAACCCUCAAAGGGAUUUAAUUUUUUCCAGUCUAUGAAAUCUGAAUAAUACAUGUCUCCACAUCCUCGCCAGCAUCUG
RNAcentral lists this small RNA (1228 nucleotides) under Rattus norvegicus (Norway rat). RNAcentral describes it as "uncharacterized LOC108349045". Lineage: Eukaryota; Metazoa; Chordata; Mammalia; Rodentia; Muridae. The record is from RNAcentral.